Triticum urartu is the source of this 3257-nucleotide non-coding RNA. Lineage: Eukaryota; Viridiplantae; Streptophyta; Magnoliopsida; Poales; Poaceae. The record is from RefSeq and is a predicted model, not a curated record.
GUUCCAUCAUGUUCCUUUUUUGUCUCGUCACGAGCACAUGCCACCGAUGCUAAACUCUUUUGGCAACCGAUUGAAAAAUCAGCUGGAGGAGAGCUUCAUUAGAUCUGUCUACUCCUGUAUUUUCAGUUACCCGUGUGACUGAAAAAAAUACACUAUAUGUUACUAUGCUAUAUUUCUUAAGUUAUGUAUAGAACCUCUACCUAUAUACUUGGAUCACCGGAUUGUUCAAUUCUUUUUAUGCAACAAAACUACAGAAUUAGUACUUAUCAUUGCAGUGUCGUGUUCUGUGUAUACCAAUAUCUACCACUAUAAUACACCAGUCUUGAAUUUGGAUUCACCACCCCACUUGUUUUUUAGUCUGCUUGGGUACUGAUCACCUGAACUAAUGAACUAAUGGCCAAGAUACAGUGCAGAGAGUAAACUUGCCGGGUGAUACAUGAGAGCAUUUAUAUAAUGGUUGGCUCUAUCAAGUUUUUUACCGAUUUAUACUGAAUUAAACUUCUUGAUAUGGCGAUAGGGUCUCCAGUGUACAUGAUUAUCAGUUAAAUUUGUAUAUAAACUUCUUCCAAUUUGUUCAAUUGUAAGCCUAGUGAUGUAACAAUGACUGUUGAUUGUAUUGUUCUGCUCUUGGUUAGUACAAGAAAUGCUUGAGUUGUCAAUCAGGAAGAACUUCAAUUCUUCAAGCAAGAACUCUAGACUGGGCUUUCAAAUAAGUUGGACUGUAGAUAAUGUCCAGAUUUGUGAUCAUUGAUGCUUGUGCUUUCUUCUUCAUGUUCUGGUGAGGAAGAAGGGAAAACGCUGGAGCCAAUAGAUGUUUAGUGGGACUAUGUUCUGAAUUGACAAAGCUAAAGGAAGCACAUGCCAUCUAUCUCUCAUAUUGGUUAUUUGGAUGUUUUUGCGACUACGGAAUUGUGAUUGUAUAUUCUUGAGUAUUCAGUUCUUCAGUAUUGUUAAUUGAACAUACACUGGAAGUCAAAUUUCCAGGUAAAUCUGAUCAAGACUACUAGAUGAUCCAAAUGGAGGAUUAUUUCACUUUCAGACCCACUUUGUAAAUGUACAUCAUUGUCUUACCACAGAAGUUUAGAUGGACAUAGUAUCCAGGAUACCAACUAUUUGGAACUCCUCUCUACAAAAAAGGAUUAAGGGGAUUGGUAACUGGAGUUCAGAGCAUAAAAUUAUUCUAAUUGCCAUGCCUACAGUAUUGUCUACACAGAUUUGAGAGAGGAAUAGAUGGAUAGAUGAGCAAUGGACCAUUAAAGUUGCUUUCCAUGGUUCUCUUAGGGACCAUUGCAAAAGGUAGUUUUUUUUGGAUAAAGGUCAUCGAGCUAAGGUAAGCUCUUCAUAGACUGGAACAUUUUCAUGUCCUCGCCGGCGAGGAAACCAGGUGACCUUCUCAACCCAAUGUCUUUCCCUCCUUAUCCCUUUCUCCUAUCGCAGUUCCCUCUCAAUGCGUUAGUUUCUUUCGUCGUCGCUAGGUUCGGCACUCUGCCACGCUCGCUUCAGUAGCUUGUUGAUUAAGAGGUACGAGUGGGUGGCCAGCUGCAAUGUCUAGAUGGAAGACCUCUCCUGUUCAGAUUUAUUUUGGGUUCUUGAUUCCUUUUUCUCAAUGGUUAUAUGUAAUUAGUACAACAUUAGGAAAAAAGUAUACCGUGUUUGUGGCUGGAUGCAUUAAGUUGUUGGAAUUGUUGUAUUAGAAGUGCACUCUUGAUUGCCUUACCAAUGGUCCAAAAGAAUUGCACAACCGGUGAAAUUGACCGUGGUUUUAAUGUACUUUUGUUACAAUAGAGUUUUUUAGGAGCAAAGUACAGUGGGAGAUGUCCCACUGACUUGUAACUAUAAAAAGAAGGACGUCAGUUACAUUUACAAUACACUAGAGUAUAUUUCAUUAUUUCCCAGUUUGGACAUACUUCUAUAGGUUUGCUUCUCAUAAAUAUUAUCAUGCAUGUAUCAGCUGGUGAUUAUGUGAUAGUGGCGUGCUCUCAUAAAUAUUAUGUGUUUCCAGGUAGAUGAAUCCUUUCCGAAUAGGGACCAGGUUGGUUACUUCUUCUGUAAUUAUAUGUUUCAGUGAUAGCUGCUUGAUUAAAUGGUUCCAUCUGUUUCUUAUUCUUGUCAUCUAACGUAGAUAAAUAGAUUAUAUGCUUUUGCGCCGAAUCACGUGGAAGGUCGAGAUGACCGCACAUACAUAUUUUUUUAAUGUUUAUUACCGCAUGGAUGCCUACUGACCCUAAAUAUUUUUGGUUAAAAUGUUUUCCUGUGAAGUUUCUAUACUAUAUAAGAAAGUUGGUCUCAACUAUUUGAGGUCAUAUUCUAUUUUAAAGAUCACUCAUAUAGUUUCAUAGCUGAUUCAGUUGCAUUCGUUGAGAACAAGUGUUUGUAUCAAUCUUGUUUUUCAGGUUACUCGUAUUGCAUAUUGAUGGAUUUCUUGCAGGCUUGUACGCCAGAUUUUAUUUCAACUGUAUGUAUUCUUUUGUUUGACAAGAGGGUAUGUAUUCUGGACAAAUUCUGUAAUUAUAUGUUUCCAGUGAUAGCUGUUAGAUUAAAUGGUUGGUCCUAUCCAUGUGUAAUCAUGUAUUAUUUGGGAUGAGACUUGUAUUUUUAGUCAGUAUAAUUUUGUAAUGGAUUGAACAUAUUCCUGUAAUUUUGAACUGUGAAACACAUAGAAGUUAGUUAAUUUUGGUAGUAUUUGUGGCUUGUUGUGCUCACCCCAGAGGCAUGGCAGAAGCUUGCCCAUAUUUCUAAACUGAUGUCAUCCUUGCUACGACAAUUUUGAUCUUGGGCCACAUCAGAUUCAUACGUUUUGUGAAUCGGUGGGUCAUACAAUUGUAGUUGAAUCUGGUAAUACCAAGAGUCUAAGAGGGAUGAAUACCUGAAGAGAUUGAUGGGCCUUCCUAAUCAGUUUGAUUUGAAAAAAAUGGGCUGAAAUAAUUGGACAGGCGGGCCAAAGCAUUGAUAUCCUGAAGAACCACAAUGUUAUCAGAUCUCUUCUUAACAUUUUGCAGGAAUGAUGUUUGUUAGACGACCAAACUCACUUGCAUGUCAUUCCUUAAGAAGAUCAGUCUCCCAAAUGAUUGGACCAACUGUAAUGGGUGGUCCUCAUUAUCUAUACAUUCAGUUUAAGUUGAUCUGAACUUACAAUUUCUCUGUUGCAACACAUGCCUAAUGUCCUCAUGUGCACUAAGUAUGAGAUGCUUACUUUCCUAACAAAUAUCAAUCUGUUAUGAACAUCAGCUCGUAUAAUUUGAUUAUUUUUGGAGACC